This 465-nucleotide ribosomal RNA is filed under the name uncultured bacterium. RNAcentral describes it as "bacterial SSU rRNA". It matches the Rfam family "Bacterial small subunit ribosomal RNA", at positions 338 to 795 of the family's 1533-position model. The record is from RNAcentral.
CCUACGGGACGCAGCAGUGGGGAAUAUUGCACAAUGGGCGCAGGCCUGAUGCAGCCAUGCCGCGUGUAUGGAGAAGGCCUUCGGGUUGUAAAGUACUUUCAGCGGGGAGGAAGGUGUUGUGGUUAAUAACCACAGCAAUUGACGUUACCCGCAGAAGAAGCACCGGCUAACUACGUGCCAGCAGCCGCGGUAAUACGGAGGGUGCAAGCGUUAAUCGGAAUUACUGGGCGUAAAGCGCACGCAGGCGGUCUGUCAAGUCGGAUGUGAAAUCCCCGGGCUCAUCCUGGGAACUGCAUUCGAAACUGGCAGGCUAGAGUCUUGUAGAGGGGGGUAGAAUUCCAGGUGUAGCGGUGAAAUGCGUAGAGAUCUGGUGGAAUACCGGUGGCGAAGGCGGCCCCCUGGACAAAGACUGACGCUCAGGUGCGAAAGCGUGGGGAGCAAACAGGAUUAGAUACCCCAGUAGUC